CAAUAGCGUAGAUUAAAGUUGUUGCAGUUAAAAAGCUCGUAGUUGGAUUUCUGGUCGGAAGCUCCUGUCCUCUGAUGAGCGUACAAGUGCGUCCUACCAUCCUUCUGUUAACCUUUAAGGCUUUCGCGGCUUUCUAGGGGCUCAGAUAUUUUACCUUGAGAAAAUUAGAGUGUUUCAGGCAGGCUAGCGCCGGAAUACAUUAGCAUGGAAUAAUGGAAUAGGACUUUUGCCUCUUCUGUUGGUCAUGAGGCUCGAGUAAUGAUUAAUAGGGAUAGUUGGGGGCAUUAGUACUUAACUGUCAGAGGUGAAAUUCUCGGAUUUGUUAAAGACUAACUUAUGCGAAAGCAUUUGCCAAGGAUGUUUUCAUUAA
Molecule: ribosomal RNA, 370 nt
Filed under: uncultured eukaryote
Lineage: Eukaryota
Description: partial 18S ribosomal RNA
Rfam family: Eukaryotic small subunit ribosomal RNA
Source: RNAcentral